CCCCAUUCAGGAUCGCACCUGGAAAGUUUCUAGUACUGUACCAGUCUCGGCUACGGGAGGGAGAAUCGAGCAGAGGCAUACCCAUUCUAUUCCUAGCUUGGGCAGUGGCUAGCGAGUGGAAGACAAUGUGCUACCAGU
RNAcentral lists this small nucleolar RNA (138 nucleotides) under Ornithorhynchus anatinus (platypus). The record is from RNAcentral. Lineage: Eukaryota; Metazoa; Chordata; Mammalia; Monotremata; Ornithorhynchidae.